UCCCUCCUUCUCCUUCUCUCCCUCCCUCUCCUUCUCUCCCUCCCUCUCCUUCUCUCCCACUCUCUCUUUCUCGCUCUCUCUCUCUUUCUGUCCACAGAGUGUCCAUCCUGACCCUAACAGUGAUACGUACACACCUCUGAACAUGAAGACCAGGUCACCAGAGUAUGACACCCUGGCAAAUGUGAGGGGAAUCUCCCACUGAAGAGUAUCACCACAGAACCUGGACUGAAGAGAACAACCACAGAUCCUGGACUGAAGAGAGGCACCACAGAUCCUGGACUGAAGAGAGGCACCACAGAUCCUGGACUGAAGAGAGGCACCAUAGAUCCUGGACUGAAGAGAAGCACCAUAUAUCCUGUACUGAAGAGAACAACCACAGAUCCUGGACUGAAGAGAAUCAUCACAGAUCCUGGACUGAAGAGAACAACCACAGAUCCUGGACUGAAGAGAAGCACCACAGAACCUGGACUGAAGAGAAGCACCACAGAACCUGGACUGAAGAGAAGCACCAACAUUGAACCUGGACUGAAGAGAACCACCAACAUUGAACCUGGACUGAAAGUUCCAAUACAAAACGAGGCCUUACACCUCUAUUCUAUUGCUGCCAUAUCUAGAGGUUUUUACACACCAUGAACUUUAUCUUUUCAGUAAAUACUGGAAUAUAUAUUUUGGAAUGGAAUAUAUUGAUGAUAAAUGAGAUGUGUUAUAUUUUGAUGUAAAUCUGUUAACUAUCUUUAGUUUUAUUUCUGAUCUUUUUCUAUGGGAUUUUGCCAUAUACAGAUGUUUUAUAACAUCAAUAGUCCUACUUUCCUCAGCAACUAAUAUGGAUCAUAUUGAAAACAGCUUUUUAAUAUUUUUAGCUCUUGGGCCAAGUUUCUCCAGAUGUUUUUCAUGAUGAUUAACUUUGUAUUGCUGUCAGAUAUUAUUACUAAUUUUAUAUUACGUAAUACAAUAUUGUUCCGUCAUGAUAUAUUUUUUAUUUUCAAAUAAAUGUAAUCAGUCCGUUAUUAUAAUUUCCAACAUUUUGGUAGGCUAUUUGUUAGUCAACUUGUCUAUCAUUUCUAAAUACAUGCAGUGGCGACACGUCAUUCAAGGCAGCUGAGGCAGAGCUAAAUCCGUUUUCAGCCCCAUGGUUAGCUUUUUUUGUUGCUUGUUUUGCAUGUUUUGAAAUUAAUACGUGAAACAUAUCAGUUUGCAAAUAAAGUUAAUAAAUAAAUAAAGCAUUGAGUUAAUAAAGUCGCAUAGAAACAUGGUCUCUCUUUUCCUUUCUUGAGUUAAGGCAGCUCCAAAAUGCAGGUGUUUCAGCCUAGCUCAGUGCUUUCUGUGGUGGUGGGGCAGCCAGCAUAAAAUACGGAGCGUAGGGGUUGGUAAUGUUCUCUAGUUGUGCUGUGAUUGGCUCAGUGUUCUGUCACUCAUGGGGACACUACAUAACCACAAAAUCUACGGGUAGAGCUCGAAAUGUUAAACCCCUUGGGUGCUGCCAUAGAAUUACAGUAGAAAUGCCCAUCCAACAAGGCUCAAGGUCAUUGGCUUAGACAAAAUUACGUCAAAUCGCGUUAAAUCUACCGUAGCUUUGAUUGGACUGAUUGGACAAACUUUCAAAAUCUUAGCUGGCAAGCUAGACAAGCAGUCAUCAUCAUGCAUCAAGUCGACAAUCUACUGACAAAUCCUUAUCAAUCCUUGUCAUAUGAAAUUAUAGAUAAAACGUAUCAGUGCUCAUUGGCCAUUGGACAUAAACAUUAAAAAACAAGUUGGAACAAAUCACAAAUUCAACAAUUAGUGCUAAGGCAGCACUGCAGGCCCGGGUUUGAUCCCGGACUGUUACAGCCGGCUGUGACCGGGAGACCUAUGAGGCGGAGCACAAUUGGCCCAGGGUCACCUGGGUUAGGGGAGGGUUUAGCCGGCCAGGAUGACCUUGUCUCAUCAUGCUCUAGUAACUCCUUGUGGCCUGGCGCCUGCAAGCUGACGUCGGUCGUCAGUUAAACAGUGUUUCCUGCGACACAUUGGUGCCUGCUGUUUGUCCUCCUGUCCAAGGGGUGGAGCUGGAGAGCACCAGGCUGGUGAUCAGGUACCCAGACCGCUGGAUGCAGAGAACCCCUCACUCUCCUCAGAAGACCAACCCUAUAGGCCUCAACACCUCCUCAGCCUCCCAGUACGCCUCCACAUGGUAAGGACAUCUGUCUUUGAGGAGAAUAUUACUG
This 2201-nucleotide long non-coding RNA is filed under the name Oncorhynchus mykiss (rainbow trout). RNAcentral describes it as "lncRNA (ENSOMYG00000063552.1)". The record is from RNAcentral. Lineage: Eukaryota; Metazoa; Chordata; Actinopteri; Salmoniformes; Salmonidae.